Molecule: ribosomal RNA, 274 nt
Filed under: uncultured bacterium
Lineage: Bacteria
Description: partial 16S ribosomal RNA
Rfam family: Bacterial small subunit ribosomal RNA
Source: RNAcentral
AUACGGAGGGUGCAAGCGUUAAUCGGAAUUACUGGGCGUAAAGCUCGCGUAGGCGGCUCGAUAAGUCGGAUGUGAAAGCCCCGUGCUCAACCUGGGAACUGCAUUCGAAACUGCCGAGCUAGAGUUUGAUAGAGGAGAGUGGAAUUCCACAUGUAGCGGUGAAAUGCGUAGAUAUGUGGAGGAACACCAGUGGCGAAGGCGGCUCUCUGGAUCAAAACUGACGCUGAGGUGCGAAAGCGUGGGUAGCAAACAGGAUUAGAUACCCUAGUAGUCC